CAGUGUGACAACCAUGAGAAUGGACUGAAGAUCUCUGAAUCAAGGCUAUGCUGUUGUGGACCUUCCUCUACUCUGCAGAAGACAGCAUUCUACCCAAGAGACAUAGGACAAAAGGAUAACACCAGGAAGUAGCCACGUUAAGUGCAGGGUUGGUACAAAUUCAGAGGAAAUGAAGCUCACUGUUGAAGGUGAACUAGGAAUUCCUGCCCUUGUACACUCUCACUGGGCUCUUGGCACUCAUGUUUCUGGUGUGGAUCCUUCUCCUUCUUCCUGUCAUCGCUGCCCUGCUUUCUCUGCGCCUCUGCCUAAACUGUGUCCUGAACUUGGCAGCCGUUACAGAGUGGUGACCAGGAGGCAGCAAGACUCUCUGGCCCAUGUCCUUGUUUUGAAGGAACAGCUCUAACUUGUAUUUCUGAAUUACAGUUUUAAACUUUGAAAACACCUCGCAGAAACUACUUGUUUCUGUUUCUGUUUUGA
RNAcentral lists this long non-coding RNA (477 nucleotides) under Rattus norvegicus (Norway rat). Its description in RNAcentral is "long non-coding RNA NONRATT026778". Lineage: Eukaryota; Metazoa; Chordata; Mammalia; Rodentia; Muridae. The record is from RNAcentral.